GUAGGUGAACCUGCGGAAGGAUCAUUACCACGUAUCCACGUCUAUCAACAUGUCGGCCCUCUGUGUUAUCCCCACUAAACUAACCUCAUUCCACUAGUUGUCUAUUGUCUGUGCGCGAUUGUCUUGCGCUGUGCCGAAAGCCGCAGUGGCCGGGUCGUCCCACACGUUUACUUACCUGAACGUUAAACAUACAACUCUUAGCAAUGGAUAUCUUGGUUCUC
RNAcentral lists this unclassified non-coding RNA (221 nucleotides) under rhizosphere metagenome. Its description in RNAcentral is "partial ribosomal RNA internal transcribed spacer region". The record is from RNAcentral.